GUUUAGUCUUUCCCUCCCAGGCUUCCAGACUUCUAAUUGGUCAACAUUUCAUUUUUAGUGUCUACAUGUGGACAGAGAUAUUUUAUCAAAACUGCACGUGUGGACGGGAUUUUUAAAAAAAAUAACAAAAACUGAAAAUCUCCAUUUUCAAAAAUACUCAUGUACAUAGCCUUACUCUCUACAGGGAGAGGUGAAACAUAGUGGGGGAGACGGUCUGGGGGAAACGAAGAGAGAUCUUAGUGCACGGUCCACGUUCCUCAAUGUGCUGGGCAGGUGAGCAUAUCCAGCGGAGCUGCAAGUAAUCCAGCACUCAAACACACUGAGAUAAAAGUAACCUGAUUACGAGUCAUCUGGAGGCUUGACUGUGAGCAAAGAGCACACAAUUAAUUCCAGUAAAACAAUGGCAACAAUCAACUACUGCAAUAACCUUAACACAAUCUGGCAAUGGCGGAUUGCCGCGCUGGUCUUAUGUCUCUGCAGCCUCAUUGCUCACAGGUGCUGCUGGUCGGUGGAAACGAAGGGGCCCCACCCAGGGGUGGAGACACCAGGAACACAGGUGCUUUAGACUCACCCAGACCAUGACAAUAGCCUCAUUUCCAUCUGCAGACCCUCUGGCAGGUCAAAACAAGAAAGACCAAGUUGGAUUCACACCUGUACUGAUAAUCACCGCAGGUAAAUAUGAACAUAAUGUUACACAACAUUGAGCAGUUAGCAACUUGAAACCAAAUUAAUCAACUGAAAUAAAUGAUUAUUUUCAUAAAAUAAAGGACCCAUGGGGGAAGCAGUAUGCCAAGAGGUGCUGUCAGAUAAGGAGGGGAUAAAAUGUGUAAAUGUAAAAGUGGGAAACAUUCACAAAGAGACUUAAAAAAAACAGAGGUGAAAAUACAAACAAGGUCAAGAGAAGAGUAUUACUGAUAGCUGCCAGAGUGAAGCUGACCCCCCACCCACUUGAAAAGUAAAGGCAAAUAGGCGGAGUGAUUAGUACUUCGUUUGUGCUGCUUUAGUUUUGAGAUAUUAAACUUUAUUUUAUAGGUCAUUCAAAGGUCAACAUCCCAGACUGCUCGAAAACAGACCAAAGUGGUCUACUUUUGUGCUGUAAGGAGUGUCAUGGCCAGUUAGAAAUGUCACGUGACAGACAGACAGCAAUUAAUAGUCCAAUGGUGCUCCAAUGUUUCAUGAAAAAUACAGAUCUC
Molecule: long non-coding RNA, 1193 nt
Filed under: Oreochromis niloticus (Nile tilapia)
Lineage: Eukaryota; Metazoa; Chordata; Actinopteri; Cichliformes; Cichlidae
Description: lncRNA (ENSONIG00000026833.2)
Source: RNAcentral